Molecule: ribosomal RNA, 492 nt
Filed under: Triticum aestivum (bread wheat)
Lineage: Eukaryota; Viridiplantae; Streptophyta; Magnoliopsida; Poales; Poaceae
Description: partial small subunit ribosomal RNA
Source: RNAcentral
AUGUUCAAGCUGGUGUCUAGAAAUACCAUUAGGCAGGACAUUAAAAAUAUGUUUGGUGUCCAAAAGAAUAGCAUGGUGAAGUACUUUGCAAAGUUUGAGAACCGAGUAGCCAUCACAACAGAUUUGUGGACGGCUGGCCAUCAAAAGAGGGGCUAUAUGGCUGUAACUGCACAUUAUAUUGAUGCUUCUUGGAACCUAAAGAGAUUCCUAAUGAGGUUUGUGUAUGUUCCAUGUCCACACAAUGCUGAAGUUAUAUGUGAAGCACUACAUGCAUGUCUUGUUGAGUGGCACCUUGAGAAUAAGAUAUCCACGGUGACCUUGGACAAUUGUACAUCAAAUGAUAAGGCUAUCGAAAUUAUGCCAGAUAAGUUGGACACCUCUUCUCUUAUGUUAAAAGGAUCUUUGAUGCAUAUGCAUUGUGCUUCUCAUAUAUUAAAUCUAAUUGUAAAAGAUGGAUUGGGUGUCAUGGAGAAAAGGAUUGAGAGGGUAUGA